AUCGGUUCUCAGCCUUUUGGCUAAGAUCAAAGUGUAGUAUCUGUUCUUAUCAGCUUAAUCUCUGGUAAGGCGCCACGGUAGUCGAACGGUUAGAAGGCGAGACCUGUA
Molecule: small nuclear RNA, 108 nt
Filed under: Rhodnius prolixus
Lineage: Eukaryota; Metazoa; Arthropoda; Insecta; Hemiptera; Reduviidae
Description: U2 spliceosomal RNA
Rfam family: U2 spliceosomal RNA
About the family: U2 is a small nuclear RNA (snRNA) component of the spliceosome (involved in pre-mRNA splicing). Complementary binding between U2 snRNA (in an area lying towards the 5' end but 3' to hairpin I) and the branchpoint sequence (BPS) of the intron results the bulging out of an unpaired adenosine, on the BPS, which initiates a nucleophilic attack at the intronic 5' splice site, thus starting the first of two transesterification reactions that mediate splicing.
Source: Rfam by way of RNAcentral